AGUGAACGCUGGCGGUAGGCCUAACACAUGCAAGUCGAACGGCAGCACAGUAAGAGCUUGCUCUUACGGGUGGCGAGUGGCGGACGGGUGAGGAAUACAUCGGAAUCUACUUUUUCGUGGGGGAUAACGUAGGGAAACUUACGCUGAUACCGCAUACGACCUACGGGUGAAAGCAGGGGAUCUUCGGACCUUGCGCGAUUGAAUGAGCCGAUGUCGGAUUAGCUAGUUGGCGGGGUAAAGGCCCACCAAGGCGACGAUCCGUAGCUGGUCUGAGAGGAUGAUCAGCCACACUGGAACUGAGACACGGUCCAGACUCCUACGGGAGGCAGCAGUGGGGAAUAUUGGACAAUGGGCGCAAGCCUGAUCCAGCCAUACCGCGUGGGUGAAGAAGGCCUUCGGGUUGUAAAGCCCUUUUGUUGGGAAAGAAAAGCAGCAGGUUAAUACCCCGCUGUCCUGACGGUACCCAAAGAAUAAGCACCGGCUAACUUCGUG
This 492-nucleotide ribosomal RNA is filed under the name uncultured bacterium. Its description in RNAcentral is "partial 16S ribosomal RNA". It matches the Rfam family "Bacterial small subunit ribosomal RNA", at positions 29 to 507 of the family's 1533-position model. The record is from RNAcentral.